AUAAAGAAUUGGUUCAGCCCCUUAGUGCCUUAAGAUUAAUAUUGUGCAUCCUGCAGACCGAGGCUUCCUAGUGAUAUGAGCUAGCGGGACAUGCAUCAGUGGGCAAGAAGGCCUUUGAACUAGUUAUAACCUGUUUGUGGGUUGACCCAUAAUUAAAGGGGAAGUAUCAUUCAGUGCCAGUGAUCAUCUUUUGGUCUAAACAUAUUAGUCCCGGACUUACAAAGUUCCAAGCCAAAAUGACUUUUCCAUACACUAGCAAAGAGGCAGAGAGGAAGUCCAAAAUG
This is a non-coding RNA of Pelobates cultripes (western spadefoot toad), 284 nucleotides long. The record is from the annotation of a GenBank genome assembly. NCBI's taxonomy places the organism in Eukaryota, Metazoa, Chordata, Amphibia, Anura, Pelobatidae.